GGCCAGACUCCUACGGGAGGCAGCAGUGGGGAAUAUUGCACAAUGGGGGAAACCCUGAUGCAGCAACGCCGCGUGAGUGAAGAAGUAUUUCGGUAUGUAAAGCUCUCUCAGCAGGGAAGAAGAUGACGGUACCUGAAUAAGAAGCCCCGGCUAACUACGUGCCAGCAGCCGCGGUAAUACGUAGGGGGCAAGCGUUAUCCGGAUUUACUGGGUGUAAAGGGAGCGCAGACGGCAGUGCAAGUCUGAAGUGAAAGGCAAGGGCUCAACCCUUGGACUGCUUUGGAAACUGUGCUGCUGGAGUGUCGGAGAGGCAAGUGGAAUUCCUAGUGUAGCGGUGAAAUGCGUAGAUAUUAGGAGGAACACCAGUGGCGAAGGCGGCCUGCUGGACGAUGACUGACGCUGAGGCUCGAAAGCGUGGGGAGCAGACAGGAUUAGAUACCCCUGUA
RNAcentral lists this ribosomal RNA (446 nucleotides) under uncultured bacterium. Its description in RNAcentral is "partial 16S ribosomal RNA". It matches the Rfam family "Bacterial small subunit ribosomal RNA", at positions 329 to 792 of the family's 1533-position model. The record is from RNAcentral.